CAAAUACUGCAAAAUGGAUACGGUGUAUGUGUGUCAUAGUCCAGGAAAAAAGCAUUAAUGCAAGACCGUACCCGAAACCGACACAGGUGAACGAGUCGAGUAGACUCAGGCGUUGAGUGAACCAUAUUGAAGGAACUCGGCAAAAUAAUCCCGUACCUUAGGAAGAAGGGAUACCGAAAGGUGACACAAAAAUGGGGGUGACGACUUUUUACUAAAAAAUUAGGACUCUGCAAAAUGGUAACAUGCUGUAUAGGGUCUGACGUCUGCCCGGUGCUAGAAGUCUAAAAGGCGCAUUGCAAGAUGCAAAUGGAAAGCCUAGUAAACGGCGGUUGUAACUAUAACAAUCAUAAAGUAGCGAAAUUCAUUGCCAGCUAAUUCCUGGCCUGCAUGAAAGACGUAACGAUUGCCCCACUGUCUCCAGUGUGGACUCAGUGAAAUUGAAUUCUCCGUGCAGAUGCGGAGUACGUGCCCCAAGACGAGAAGACCCUGUGCAUCUUUACUGUACAUUUACAUUGACAAAACCAUACGUAUGUGUAGGAUAGGUGGGAGUACAAACAUCCUUGAAAUACCACCCUUACUAUGUUUUUUGUCUAACAUCGGAGAUAGACAAUGUAUGUGAGGCAGUUUGACUGGGGCGGUCGCCUCCUAAAGAGUAACGGAGGCGUGCGAAGGUAAACUCAAUGUAGAUCGGAAACCUACUGAAGAGCGUAAUGGUAUAUGUUUGCCUGACUGCAAGAUUUACAGAUCGAGCAGAGACGAAAGUCGGUCAUAAUGAUCCACAAGUACUGCGUGGAAAGGCUUGUGCUUAACGAAUCAAAGAUACGCCAGGGAUAACAGGCUGAUAAUUCCCUAGAGUCCAUAUCGACGGAAUUGUUUGGCACCUCGAUGUUGACUGAUCAUAUCCUGGGGCUGAAGAAGGUCCCAAGGGUUCGGCUGUUCGCCGAAUAAAAUGGUACCUGAGUUGAGUUUAGAACGUCGUGAGACAGUUUGGAUUCUACCUGGGGUGCGCGUAAGAAUUGAGAAAACCACAUCCUUGUACGAGAGGACCGGAUGUGUACAACCUCUGGUAUAGUAAUUGUCCGGCCACGGGCAUGGUUACUACGCUACGUUGUGAAAGGAUAAGUACUGAAAGCAUAUCAAGUACGAAACUUUUUUCAAGACAUAUUCUUUAUCGUAUUGUAUAUCGUACAAGUUGAGUACGUUAAUAGAUAAGCUGUGUAUUAUUUGUAAAAAUAGAAGCAUCCUUAUACUAAACUAUACAUUUUUUUUUCUAU
This 1274-nucleotide ribosomal RNA is filed under the name marine metagenome. RNAcentral's name for it is "bacterial LSU rRNA". It matches the Rfam family "Bacterial large subunit ribosomal RNA", at positions 1569 to 2925 of the family's 2925-position model. The record is from RNAcentral.